This 492-nucleotide ribosomal RNA is filed under the name uncultured bacterium. RNAcentral's name for it is "partial 16S ribosomal RNA". It matches the Rfam family "Bacterial small subunit ribosomal RNA", at positions 29 to 507 of the family's 1533-position model. The record is from RNAcentral.
AGUGAACGCUGGCGGUAGGCCUAACACAUGCAAGUCGAACGGCAGCACAGUAAGAGCUUGCUCUUACGGGUGGCGAGUGGCGGGUGGGUGAGGAAUACAUCGGAAUCUACUUUUUCUUAGGGGAUAACGUAGGGAAACAUACGCUAAUACCGCAUACGACCUACGGGGGAAAGCAGGGGAUCUUCGGCCCUUGGGUGAUUGAAUGAGCCGAUGGCGGGUUAGCGAGGUGGUGGGGUAAAGGCCCACCAAGGCGACGCUGCGGAGCUGGGCUGAGAGGAUGAUCAGUCACAAUGGAACUGAGACACGGUCCAGACGCCGAAGGGAGGCAGCAGUGGGGAAUAUGGGACAAUGGGCGAAAGCCUGAUCCAGCCAUGCCGAGUGUGGGAAGAAGGUCUUCGGAUUGUAAAGCACUUUAAGGUGGGAGGAAGGGCAGUAAGUUAAUACCUUGCUGUUUUGACGUUACCAACAGAAUAAGCACCGGCUAACUUCGUG